This is a long non-coding RNA of Aegilops tauschii subsp. strangulata, 397 nucleotides long. RefSeq lists it as uncharacterized. Lineage: Eukaryota; Viridiplantae; Streptophyta; Magnoliopsida; Poales; Poaceae. The record is from RefSeq and is a predicted model, not a curated record.
UCCACACUCAAGCGUGCCUACCUCUCCAUCUAUAACUGGGUGCAGGUGCUCUACUACGUGCUGCUGGAUAGUUUACCUGGACGUGUACGUCGCCAGUCGAGAGGCAUCUCCAGCUUGCGCAGACCGCCGUCUGUGUCUAUCAUUGAUCAGUUAUCUGUAACUUGCCGACGUGUUUUCUAGGUCGCUAGUUUUGUACUUUGCCUAUAACUGCAUGAGUCAUUCUCGCUGAAAUGACAUGAUUUAGCUUUUAAUUCUUCUGGCCAAACAUGUGGUUUAGCCUUUUGCCUUUGCUUAUCAACAGUUGUUUUGCUUGUUUUUGAGCUACUGCCACUUUGAGCUGAUGUAGGCCUGUAGUUAUUUAUUGCAACUGAGCUUCUAUAUUGCAUUGUUGGACCAA